UAUUUCUUUUAGAAUCGAGCGUCUGGAGUUCCUAGAUGAGCGGGAGCUUCUGCAACAACUGCUUCAACACUACAGCAUCUGCUGGGCCACCAAGGACAAACUCAACCUGGGUCUGUCGCAGCUGGCAUUUUGAGUGUGAAACUGCUCCGCUGUUGGGACAUGAUUUACACGCGUGCACGCCAAAAUCAACAGCAGGAGAAGAAGAGGGAAAGGAGACGUUGGGAAAGAGGAAGCCCGUGUCCUCCGUCAGGCCGUCGUCCGGGAGCUGUUCCGGUGCAAAAACUCCCGCCAUCAGCAGAAUGUGAUUUGACGAGCGUCCUUUGUGACCUCACAGGUCUCCAAGAUGAGACAUGAAGAGGCUGAGGACUGUGAGGACAUUUGUCUCUGCAUUGAGUUACUCUCUGCACAAUCCCUUAUUUCAAAACCUGCUUACCUGUGUUAGAUAUAAAAGUCUUCAGAUGUCUUAUAUUUGUCCUUUUCUGGUUUUAUGUGCCAUUUUGUUUUUAUUUAUUAAUCAGUUGUACUUCCACAGUCAUUUUCUUUUAAAACAGACACACUCGUGCAUGUGAUAUAACUAGUGAUUCUAUUUGAUGAAGGCUGUUUAACUGCAGUUGAAUAAAAAAGUCCUUUUGUGUAA
Non-coding RNA from Plectropomus leopardus (leopard coralgrouper), 637 nucleotides. The record is from RefSeq and is a predicted model, not a curated record. NCBI's taxonomy places the organism in Eukaryota, Metazoa, Chordata, Actinopteri, Perciformes, Serranidae.